UUAUCUUUAGUUAAAGAAAUUAAUAUCAUUAGCCUAGACUAACAACUCAUCCCAAAAUCAGAUUUUUUUUAAGAGAAAGAGGGAAGGGGGGAAGAAUGAAGAGAAGAACAAAAGCUUCGCUUACACGUUGGCUUCUCUCUUUUCUUUUUUUUUUUGGCCUACAAGGAUAUUUUAGUAAUUAUUCACACAUAAGGGUAUUUUGGUCAUGUUUGUCCAACUUUAAAUUAAACACACUUAAUUUAAUAAUCUCAAUCCAAAAUCACUUGAUAAAAUAC
RNAcentral lists this long non-coding RNA (275 nucleotides) under Prunus persica (peach). Its description in RNAcentral is "long non-coding RNA (PPER_LNC007058)". Lineage: Eukaryota; Viridiplantae; Streptophyta; Magnoliopsida; Rosales; Rosaceae. The record is from RNAcentral.